Molecule: long non-coding RNA, 3959 nt
Filed under: Nicotiana benthamiana
Lineage: Eukaryota; Viridiplantae; Streptophyta; Magnoliopsida; Solanales; Solanaceae
Description: long non-coding RNA (NBEN_LNC025291)
Source: RNAcentral
GCAUGACAUGAAAACUUGAUAUGCAUCUAAAGUAUAUUAUAUGACUUAUAUGACUUAACUUAUAUGUCAAUCCAUGAAGGAUUUAAGUUGUUUGAUACAUAUACAAUUCUUGAUCUUGAAGUACCGCUUCCUCGGUGCAAUUUAUGCACAUUUGUAUAUUUUAUAACUAUAAGCAUGAUAAUGUGAUAGAGAGGAUACCUUUAUGGAGAUAUUGAAGAGCCAUUCCACGAUAUUUGUGAAGACAUUAUAUAGCUAUCACGAGUUAUAAUAUGGAUCACCCCACACAAUAUCCGGUAAUCACUCCUAAGUAAGGGGCUAAACGUGAUGUUAUCGCGUGCUCAUCAUAUCCAUAUCUAGCAUUUUCACCCGUUAAGAUACUAAAGAGCAGAACGGUCUUGUUUACUUAUUGCAUGCUAUUACUCGUCCCAAUCCUAUCAGUUUCGGAGGCAUUUAGGACUACUAAUCCUAAGACGGAGGGAGAUUAGGCUUAUUUGUAGUUUCAAAAAGGCAAAAUUCUAAGGCAACAUACAAAACAUGUAUAGCAAGUUGGGGGUAAGCAUAUAACAAGCAACAUGCUCAAAUAUACCUCAUUUCAACAGAGAAAGCAAGUAUUUAGCAUGAUUUAAACAUACAGGUUUAGGGUCUGAUUAAAGCUUAAAGGUUGGGGUAGGCUGAUUUAUUACAUAAUUCAGAUAAGCCUGAAUCAGGCCUGCCUGCUGGUUGUAGUUAAUAAAAACUGAUUCAUCUUAUUAUUUUACCCUUAGGCUUGCCUAAGUGUUGGACGAGGAUCGUAUAGGCAUGAUAUCUACUGAUAUCAGAAAACCAUAAAAUAAACGGAAUGCGUACUGGAUAAGAAAGAUUGCCAAAUUAUUAAAGAAAGGCACGUUUUAGCAAAAAGAUUAUAAGUUCUGCAAAUGAUAGCACAUCGAUAUUACUGGUUUUAGCCUUAUACAUAGAUGAAGCGAUUCAGAUUUGAUUAAUAGUUCCUAUAGAGAUGAUUUAUAUGUGUUGUUGAUUUUAAACCCUUUUAUAGACAUGCGAGAAUGCAGAAACCCUUAUAGACAUGAUAUCUAGGUGUUGAGUUUUAUUUAAGGCCUAUGAACAUGAUAUGUAAUUGCAGUUGAUUGAUUAAGACAUGUAGACAUGAUUUCCUGAUAAAGAAUGGAUAUACAAGAUUCAGAAAGACCUAUAGGCAUAUUUUCUAUAUGCAUAUGCAGAGUUCUAAUUUCCAGAUACUCAUGGACAUGAUUUUUAUAUGAGAGAAUGCAGAAUACCAGGCAUAGUAUAUAUAUGAGAAAUGCAGAAUUUCAGAAAUACCUAUAGGCAGGAUAUCUAUGUGAGAAUGCAGAAUUUUAGAAAUACCUAUAGGCAGGAUAUCUGCCCUUUUUGCACACACAGUUACCCUCCUUUUUUCACUAGCCAUCCCCAAGAGUUCAUUACAAAUUAUUACAGCCCAGAAUAAAGUAAAAAAACAUCAUAAAUUAAAAGUGCAACCAAUGCAAGCCUGAUUCAGACUUCCUGUCUGAAAUAUGAAGUAAACCAACUCCAAGAGAUCAUGAUACAAAGUCUUUCUCUCAUUUGGAUGUGUCAAAGUUCCCUAAGAGCCUCGAAAAGGACUCCGGGCAAUGCUCACAACCAAUUGCAUUAUCAGAUUAGGACAAGUACAUUGUGGAAAGGACAACCCUCAAGUGUCCAAGUUCAGGGGAAUUCAAGGUCCCAAGGCAAGGCUCACAAGAGGGGGACAGAACUUAAGGGAUAAGAGAGGGUGCAAGUACAGAAACAAAAUUCUGAGAGGGGCAAAAGGAAAGGGAAACAACUCAAAUAAGUACACAUAGGGGUAUAGGGAAAUGAGGGAAUUAUAGAGAGGCAAAGGCAAGCUUGUGGGCAUACCCAGCAAUGGGGAAUGCUGGCACAUCCAUAAGCCUGUUAGAACACUAUUAGAGGCUAGGAUCCCAAGGGACCAGAUUUGAUUUGUUUGCAAAAAGUUACAUAUUGCCAUGCUCCAAACCAUAGCUUAAACAUAUAGGGGGUCGGGGUUUGUGAUUCAUAGCAGAACAAGCAGAAAGAGGUCAGCAUACUAAGAUAGAUGUUUGAAUUAUACAUAAACAGUAAGUAGACAUAGGCAUAAAGAAAUGACUAAACACAUUGUUAUGAUGCUAAAGCUUAAAUCAGGACAUACCAGUUUCAAAUAAACAAAUAGAGAAAAGUAGUAGGUCUUGUAGACAGCCCAUAAUGCAGACAAAAAGAGAGAAUACUAUUGUGUUGUGUAAGUGUGAGUUCAGAAAGACUGUGAAUAUGAGUUCGAAUGAGUUUUUAUGUUUGUGAAAGAGUCGUGCCUUUAUAGUGUAGAAAUCAGGAAAAAAUUAAGGUAAAAAAAUCGUUAAGGGACUGAUUAUCAAUUAAGAAUCAAUCACACAGGACUUCCUUUAAUUAAGGAAUUUAGAUUCAAACGGGAAAAAUUUUUAAGGGAAGAAGUCAAAUAAACAUCUUGUGUAAAGCAUAAUUAGGUGCAAAUACAUAAAAAGUUAUUUAAGGAUACAAUUUUGAAAUAUACAGUUGUACAAAUAAGGUAAGAAAAUUAAUUAGUAGCCAAUAAAUCAAAGUUCAGGGAUCUUGUAAUUACCGGUCCAUGAGUGAACCAAGUCAUAAAAGCUGAGAAAGGUUUUAACUUGAGUCGUAUCACAGGGAAAUCAACAAACAAGGAAAGAAAUCAACCAGGCCUAUUCAGAAGGAGGUCUGAACUAAUCACAAAUUUGAAAGCUAUUUUAGAGGAAAGUUCCUCACAUAUAAAGAGCAUACAAACAUCAAGCAUGCGAGAAGGGAUUAAGUGAAAGGUCUUAUAGAGUUUGGGAAAAGUCAGAGUCAUGUGAAGAAGCAAAAUUGAAAUCAUGAUUCAGAAACUUAAUGAAGCAGUAGAUGAAACAACUCCACGAACUCAAAUAGGUCCAAAAAUUAGGGUUUUUGAAGUCAGGCAAGUUCAGAGAAGAAGAGUCAGCAAAUCACAUAGCCAGGGGUCUCAAAACUCGGAUAAACCCCCCAAAUUUAGGGUUCUUGCCAUUAAUCGAGUGCAGAGACGAAAGUGAAAGUGAUUAGGGUAAAAAAAUACUACUUGAAACAGGUUUAGAGGUCUCAGAAAGGAAAUAAGACUAUUGACAUGUCUUUUAGUAGCAGAAACCCAUGAAUAGAAUAGUAAAAGAACAACAUGUGAGAUACACUAAAGAAACUCAAAGGAACAUAGUAGAGGAACUGGUAAGAAGCAUAAUGGAAAAAAUUAAUAAGAAUUGUAGGAGAAGCACAUUAAGAAGCAUCUUAGAAGAAACUUAACUAGAACAGAGUAGAGGAAACUUAAUAAGAAACACACACAAGAACAUAGUAGAGAAAAACACAAUAGAAGAAACACACAAGAACAUAGUAGAAGAAAUACACACGAACACAGUAGAAAAAAAUCAAAGAAACAUCUAAAUAUCUCAGAAAAACCCUAGAUUGGAAAAAGAAAUGGUUUUGAAAGUAGUUUUUGAAAGAAGACCCAUAAAAUCAUUUUAAAACUUAGGGAAAGCAUAGAUCUGGAACAGAUCUAAAGAGAUCAGAAAACCCCCGAAGCUAGGGUUUUCAGAGAAACCCAUAUGGUGAGAAAGGCUUGAAAAGUCAUUGAUAUGAGUAGGGAGGUCGAGGUCAAGCUCGAACAACCAUGAUUUGCUGGAGCAAGGCCGGAGACGGCCGUCGAACUUGAAUCAAACGAAGCCUGGGCCCAUCUUCUUCGUGGUUUGGCCUUAAAUCUUUAGAAACCAAGCGUGUAGGAGUUACAUGAGGCCGAUGUAGGACUCAAAUGGCCUUGGAAGCCAUGUAUUCCGGUGGCUUUAGGGUGGAAACAGAGACGGCGGCUAGGAUUUCUGAGAGUGAUUGAGAGAGAGUUGAGAGAACGGGGGAAUCUAGAGGCGGCUAUAGGUGACAAAUGAUUA